RNAcentral lists this ribosomal RNA (460 nucleotides) under uncultured bacterium. Its description in RNAcentral is "partial 16S ribosomal RNA". It matches the Rfam family "Bacterial small subunit ribosomal RNA", at positions 338 to 795 of the family's 1533-position model. The record is from RNAcentral.
CCUACGGGCGGCAGCAGUGAGGAAUAUUGGUCAAUGGACGAGAGUCUGAACCAGCCAAGUAGCGUGAAGGAUGACUGCCCUAUGGGUUGUAAACUUCUUUUAUAUGGGAAUAAAAUGUUCCACGUGUGGGAUUUUGUAUGUACCAUAUGAAUAAGGAUCGGCUAACUCCGUGCCAGCAGCCGCGGUAAUACGGAGGAUCCGAGCGUUAUCCGGAUUUAUUGGGUUUAAAGGGAGCGUAGGUGGAUUGUUAAGUCAGUUGGGAAAGUUUGCGGCUCAACCGUAAAAUUGCAGUUGAAACUGGCAGUCUUGAGUAGAGUAGAGGUGGGCAGAAUUCGUGGUGUAGCGGUGAAAUGCUUAGAUAUCACGAAGAACUCCGAUUGCGAAGGCAGCUCACUGGACUGAAACUGACACUGAGGCUCGAAAGUGUGGGUAUCAAACAGGAUUAGAUACCCUUGUAGUC